CAGCUGGCACCCUUAGGAAUGUAGCAAAUGUUUCCUGUAGUACUUCUUAUUGAAAAAAGUGCUUCAGCACCAAAAUCCAAGUAGUUUUACAGAGUGUUUGAGCCCCCAGCAUGGAUUCUGUUAAACUCUUCACUGAACCAGG
Symphalangus syndactylus (siamang) is the source of this 142-nucleotide long non-coding RNA. RefSeq lists it as uncharacterized. NCBI's taxonomy places the organism in Eukaryota, Metazoa, Chordata, Mammalia, Primates, Hylobatidae. The record is from RefSeq and is a predicted model, not a curated record.